This is a long non-coding RNA of Perognathus longimembris pacificus (Pacific pocket mouse), 654 nucleotides long. RefSeq lists it as uncharacterized. NCBI's taxonomy places the organism in Eukaryota, Metazoa, Chordata, Mammalia, Rodentia, Heteromyidae. The transcript is spliced from 2 exons. The record is from RefSeq and is a predicted model, not a curated record.
CCAUCUUUGCUGAAUAGUCUAAAGAUUUUCACGUUAUUGGAUAUGUGUUUUAAAACUGUGCACCCACAACUCCCACCCCUAAAUACUUCAGAUUGAAUAAGUAAAGCAGUUUUUCGUAGAAAGAAACUCUUUGUUAAACCCUCUGGGAGCAUAAGUACUAAUUUUAGAUUACUAGACUAUGUAUAGAUCAGUACUGCCCCCCCCACAAGGAAAAACCUUUCACCUCUCUUUCCUAGAAUGAAAAUAAAGCUCUGUCUGAGGAAAGGACUGCCAUUAAAGAGCAGCUGGAUUCAUCUAACAGCACAAUUGCCAUUUUACAAAAUGAGAGGGACAAACUAGAGUCGGAAAUCACAGAUUCUAAGAAAGAACAAGAUGACCUCCUGGUGCUGCUGGCUGAUCAAGACCAGAAAAUACUGUCGCUGAAGAGCAAACUCAAGGACCUCGGCCAUCCAGUUGAAGAAGAGGAUGAACUCGAAUCUGGAGACCAAGAAGAUGAGGAUGAAGAAAAUGAAGAGAUCAAGGACCAGGAUAGUAUCUAGCGUUAAACUCUAGGAAUGGUAGAUGUUGUCUUGUUACUUUGAAGACAGAGUUUGAAACAGUGCUUUGUUUCCUUCCACCGAAAAUAAAGAUUUAGAAAACAAGUGGAAACAUUCA